Molecule: long non-coding RNA, 776 nt
Organism: Astyanax mexicanus (Mexican tetra)
Lineage: Eukaryota; Metazoa; Chordata; Actinopteri; Characiformes; Acestrorhamphidae
Exons: 2
Source: RefSeq, a predicted model, not a curated record
GGGCGAUAUGGCUCUAAAAUAAUAUCACAAUAUUUCAGGGUAUUUUUGCGAUAACGAUAUACUUGGCGAUACAGGAAAACUAAAAUAAUUCAUUCAUUUCAGGAAUAUAGUAUAAUAGUAUAACAGUAUAAUCAUAAUGUGGCAAAAUAAAUAAUAUAGCAUAAAAUAAUAUAAUGCAGCAAAUAAUAUUGCAGAAUAUUUAGUGCAUGCAUAUAAACUGCAAACUAAAACAAUUAUACAAUAAAUACACCUAAAGCUUCACAGUGAAUAAUAGACUACUUUUAAGACAGAACAGCCCUAUUAUCACGAUAUGCAUUUUUAAUAUCAUGAUAUUUCUGUAUCACGAUGUAUUGUAUACGAUAUAAUAUUGCCCACCCCCUAAUGGCAACUUUUUCUGCUAUUGGGCAGGUUUCUUACAGGGCAGUACAGACAGUGUGUUCAGGUAGAGGAGCAGGUUUACAGUGUGUUCAGGUAGAGGAGCAGGUUUACAGUGUGUUCAGGUAGAGGAGCAGGUUUACAGUGUGUUCAGGUAGAGGAGCAGGUUUACAGUGUGUUCAGGUAGAGGAGCAGGUUUACAGUGUGUUCAGGUAGAGGAGCAGGUUUACAGUGUGUUCAGGUAGAGGAGCAGGUUUACAGUGUGUUCAGGUAGAGGAGCAGGUUUACAGUGUGUUCAGGUAGAGGGGCAGGUUUACAGUCUGUCUGUGUAUCAGACUCUUACCGUGGAGGCUGAGCAGCAGGUUGGAGUCCAGGCUGAGGAGCUGGGGGGAGAGCUGCAG